AGUGAACGCUGGCGGUAGGCCUAACACAUGCAAGUCGAACGGCAGCACAGUAAGAGCUUGCUCUUACGGGUGGCGAGUGGCGGACGGGUGAGGAAUACAUCAGAAUCUACUUUUUCGUGGGGGAUAACGUAGGGAAACUUACGCUAAUACCGCAUACGACCUACGGGUGAAAGCAGUGGAUCUUCGGACCUUGCGCGAUUGAAUGAGCCGAUGUCGGAUUAGCUAGUUGGCGGGGUAAAGGCCCACCAAGGCGACGAUCCGUAGCUGGUCUGAGAGGAUGAUCAGCCACACUGGAACUGAGACACGGUCCAGACUCCUACGGGAGGCAGCAGUGGGGAAUAUUGGACAAUGGGCGCAAGCCUGAUCCAGCCAUACCGCGUGGGUGAAGAAGGCCUUCGGGUUGUAAAGCCCUUUUGUUGGGAAAGAAAAGCAGCAGGUUAAUACCCCGCUGUUCUGACGGUACCCAAAGAAUAAGCACCGGCUAACUUCGUG
RNAcentral lists this ribosomal RNA (492 nucleotides) under uncultured bacterium. RNAcentral describes it as "partial 16S ribosomal RNA". It matches the Rfam family "Bacterial small subunit ribosomal RNA", at positions 29 to 507 of the family's 1533-position model. The record is from RNAcentral.